GGGAUGUGGCGGAAUAGGCAGACGCAUCGGACUUAAAAUCCGGUGGUGGUAACACCGUGCGGGUUCAAGUCCCGCCAUCCCC
This 82-nucleotide transfer RNA is filed under the name uncultured Bulleidia sp. It matches the Rfam family "tRNA". From Rfam's summary of the family: Transfer RNA (tRNA) molecules are approximately 80 nucleotides in length. Their secondary structure includes four short double-helical elements and three loops (D, anti-codon, and T loops). Lineage: Bacteria; Bacillati; Bacillota; Erysipelotrichia; Erysipelotrichales; Erysipelotrichaceae. The record is from RNAcentral.